GCAAACUUGGUCAUUUAGAGGAAGUAAAAGUCGUAACAAGGUUUCCGUAGGUGAACCUGCGGAAGGAUCAUUACUGAAAAGCGCUGGGAGAUGUUUGCUGGCUUCUUCCAGGAGCAAUGGUGCACUCUUCCAACUUUUUCACAAUUUCCCUCACACCCCUUGUGCACCCUUUGUAGAGCCUCUCUCAGGCUUAUAUAUAUAGCUUGAGAAGGGAAGGCUCUAUGUCUCUUUGCUUACCCCUACACACUUUUUGGAAUGGUAUGGUGCUAUUUUAUGAAAUAAAAGAAAACAACUUUCAACAAUGGAUCUCUUGGCUCUCGCAUCGAUGAAGAACGCAGC
Molecule: unclassified non-coding RNA, 339 nt
Filed under: uncultured fungus
Lineage: Eukaryota; Fungi
Description: partial contains small subunit ribosomal RNA, internal transcribed spacer 1, and 5.8S ribosomal RNA
Rfam family: Eukaryotic small subunit ribosomal RNA (bases 1-73)
Source: RNAcentral